This 119-nucleotide ribosomal RNA is filed under the name Gossypium arboreum. Lineage: Eukaryota; Viridiplantae; Streptophyta; Magnoliopsida; Malvales; Malvaceae. The record is from RNAcentral.
AGGUGCGAUCAUACCAGCACUAAUGCACUGAAUCCUGUCAGAUCUCCGCAGUUAAGCGUGCUUGGGCGAGGGUAGUACUAGGAUAGGUGACUUCCUGGGAAGUCCUCGUAUUGCACCCC